GAUGAACGCUGGCGGCGUGCCUCAAACAUGCAAGUCGAGCGAGGCUAUGAAUUACCGCAAGGUAAGGCAUAGCCUAGCGGCGAACGGGUGAGUAACACGUGGGUAACCUACCUGGAAGACAGGGAUAACGAUUCGAAAGGGUCGCUAAUACCUGAUAAUAUCCAUCUGCCGGAUGGCGGAGGGAAGAAAGGGGAAACCCGCUUUCAGAUGGGCCCGCGUCCCAUCAGCUAGUUGGUAAGGUAAAGGCUUACCAAGGCGACGACGGGUAGCCGGUCUGAGAGGAUGUACGGCCACACUGGGACUGAGAUACGGCCCAGACUCCUACGGGAGGCAGCAGUUGGGAAUCUUAGGCAAUGGACGAAAGUCUGACCUAGCGACGCCGCGUGAGGGAAGAAGGCCUUCGGGUUGUAAACCUCUGUCAUGGGGGAAGAAGGAAGCGACGGUACCCCAAGAGGAAGCCCCUGCUAACUACGUG
Molecule: ribosomal RNA, 475 nt
Filed under: uncultured bacterium
Lineage: Bacteria
Description: bacterial SSU rRNA
Rfam family: Bacterial small subunit ribosomal RNA
Source: RNAcentral